GGAAUGACGAGCUAGCAAUGCAAAGAUACGGAGCUGUGGAUUCUGUUGGCUCCUGCCGGCUGUGCCCUCACUGUGCUCAGUGCUGAAUUCUGGGUUUUAGACAGGGGAAGGAAGCGGUCCAGUUCGGUUCUCCACACCGGUAAGACUACCAAGGAAGCCAGCGGCCACCAUCUUGGAGAGCUGACAUCAUCAUCGCCUGUUUUCGACUGAUAGCAGCUCACUCAGCUAUAGAACAGGUAAUUUCAGGCUGCCAUUCGCCUGCGUCUUGCAGGCAUACUGCUCAGGAUCAGUGAUAAAGAACCCGCGGAAACUGCUUCUCGGAGCCUGCUACUGUCAGAACAUACACCGAGCCUGGAGCGGCCGAAAUCUGGCUCCCGUUCGCCUGUGUCUCACAGACAAACUGCUCUGGCUCAGGGCUAAAGAACCUGUGGGAACUGCUUCUCAGUCUGGGUCCUGCUGAAUACUGUGGAGGUAAAUACCAACCGAGCCUUCAUAGGCAGUGGCAAAAAGAUUGAGACGGGGCUUGAGAGGGCUGGUCAGGACCCACCCAUUGCUUUGGCCACCCGGCAAAGGGAACAAAAUGCUGCCAUCUGCAUGGGAUACCAACAUGGCAGAGAUCUGAUGUCAUCGGAAAGCGGCGGAGGAGAUAACUUCAUUGAUACCAGCGGCGACAGGUAUGUAGUCCCCUAGCCCCUACCUCCACAGAGCGGGGAAAUCUCAAAGGCCCCACCCAGCUCUCCCGUGAGUGCGAUAGUCAGACGGAGGGAUCCAGGACUGGCACGGGACCCGCUGCACAGGACCCCCAGGAUACCACUCCCACCAGCGCAGACAACUGAGGUCCCCUGCACCAGCUCCUGGGGGCGUGGCUACCAGAGGGCAAGCAAAAUAUGCCAAGGGCUCUCAGCCCCAAUCUCCACAACCUUAGGGGCUGAGGGAUUGGCAAGCAGGGAUAUGGUGCCCAGUUGUUCAAGAAGAUAGGGCUCCAGUGAGCGGCAGUCCUGUCGUGUAGCCAGCACUGUGGUGAGCAUCACCUGUGAAUGAGGCCAGUGGCAAGAUGACUAGACAAAAGAAAUGGCCCAAGACACUCAGGUGUGGAGAUCUGCCCAGUCGUGGAGGAGGAGCUGCUGCACAUUGAUUGGUUCCCGUGCACUGAGAGGAGAAGAUUGGCCCGGUGGGCACAGCUCCACCUACUGGAAGAGAAGUUAAUCGAACUCUAAGACUGCAUUUUUUGAUUUUUAAUUUUAAUUUUUUUUCUUUCUUUUUUUAGUUUUUUAAAAUAUUUUUGUAUUAUAAAUUUAUUUUUUACUAUCACUUUUUUUGAUUAUUAUUUUUAUUUUUUUAUUCUCUAUUUUUUUCUUUUGUCUUUUCAUUUCUUAUCAAUUUCCUUAUUCCCCUUUCUUUGAAUUCUAUCUAUUUACUCUCAUUCCCUUUAGUGACUUCUUCCCUUCCAUUCUAAAACCUUUCCUCCCAAGCAAAACAAUGCUGUUUAUGUGUAAUUUACUAAAUAUGUGUAGGUCAAUGUUCCGAGGUGUUAUAUAGUGCUACCAAGACCUUACCUUCCCCCAAAUACUCCAGAACAUUCCCC
Molecule: long non-coding RNA, 1585 nt
Filed under: Marmota monax (woodchuck)
Lineage: Eukaryota; Metazoa; Chordata; Mammalia; Rodentia; Sciuridae
Source: RNAcentral